AGCAAGGUUAACCGAAUAGGGGAGCCGGAGGGAAACCGAGUCUUAACCGGGCGUUAAGUUGCAGGGUAUAGACCCGAAACCCGGUGAUCUAGCCAUGGGCAGGUUGAAGGUUGGGUAACACUAACUGGAGGACCGAACCGACUAAUGUUGAAAAAUUAGCGGAUGACCUGUGGCUGGGGGUGAAAGGCCAAUCAAACCGGGAGAUAGCUGGUUCUCCCCGAAAGCUAUUUAGGUAGCGCCUCGUGAAUUCAUCUCCGGGGGUAGAGCACUGUUUCGGCUAGGGGGCCAUCCCGGCUUACCAACCCGAUGCAAACUGCGAAUACCGGAGAAUGUUAUCACGGGAGACACACGGCGGGUGCUAACGUCCGUCGUGAAGAGGGAAACAACCCAGACCGCCAGCUAAGGUCCCAAAGUCAUGGUUAAGUGGGAAACGAUGUGGGAAGGCCCAGACAGCCAGGAUGUUGGCUUAGAAGCAGCCAUCAUUUAAAGAAAGCGUAAUAGCUCACUGGUCGAGUCGGCCUGCGCGGAAGAUGUAACGGGGCUAAACCAUGCACCGAAGCUGCGGCAGCGACGCUUAUGCGUUGUUGGGUAGGGGAGCGUUCUGUAAGCCUGCGAAGGUGGCCUGUGAGGGUUGCUGGAGGUAUCAGAAGUGCGAAUGCUGACAUAAGUAACGAUAAAGCGGGUGAAAAGCCCGCUCGCCGGAAGACCAAGGGUUCCUGUCCAACGUUAAUCGGGGCAGGGUGAGUCGACCCCUAAGGCGAGGCCGAAAGGCGUAGUCGAUGGGAAACGGGUUAAUAUUCCCGUACUUGGUGUUACUGCGAAGGGGGGACGGAGAAGGCUAUGUUGGCCGGGCGACGGUUGUCCCGGUUUAAGCGUGUAGGUGUGUGUUCCAGGUAAAUCCGGUUCACUUUAACACUGAGGCGUGACGACGAGGCACUACGGUGCUGAAGCAACAAAUGCCCUGCUUCCAGGAAAAGCCUCUAAGCAUCAGGUAACAUCAAAUCGUACCCCAAACCGACACAGGUGGUCAGGUAGAGAAUACCAAGGCGCUUGAGAGAACUCGGGUGAAGGAACUAGGCAAAAUGGUGCCGUAACUUCGGGAGAAGGCACGCUGACACGUAGGUGAAGUGAUUUACUCAUGGAGCUGAAGUCAGUCGAAGAUACCAGCUGGCUGCAACUGUUUAUUAAAAACACAGCACUGUGCAAACACGAAAGUGGACGUAUACGGUGUGACGCCUGCCCGGUGCCGGAAGGUUAAUUGAUGGGGUCAGCGCAAGCGAAGCUCCUGAUCGAAGCCCCGGUAAACGGCGGCCGUAACUAUAACGGUCCUAAGGUAGCGAAAUUCCUUGUCGGGUAAGUUCCGACCUGCACGAAUGGCGUAAUGAUGGCCAGGCUGUCUCCACCCGAGACUCAGUGAAAUUGAACUCGCUGUGAAGAUGCAGUGUACCCGCGGCAAGACGGAAAGACCCCGUGAACCUUUACUAUAGCUUGACACUGAACAUUGAGCCUUGAUGUGUAGGAUAGGUGGGAGGCUUUGAAGUGUGGACGCCAGUCUGCAUGGAGCCGACCUUGAAAUACCACCCUUUAAUGUUUGAUGUUCUAACGUGGACCCGUUACCCGGGUUGCGGACAGUGUCUGGUGGGUAGUUUGACUGGGGCGGUCUCCUCCUAAAGAGUAACGGAGGAGCACGAAGGUUGGCUAAUCCUGGUCGGACAUCAGGAGGUUAGUGCAAUGGCAUAAGCCAGCUUGACUGCGAGCGUGACGGCGCGAGCAGGUGCGAAAGCAGGUCAUAGUGAUCCGGUGGUUCUGAAUGGAAGGGCCAUCGCUCAACGGAUAAAAGGUACUCCGGGGAUAACAGGCUGAUACCGCCCAAGAGUUCAUAUCGACGGCGGUGUUUGGCACCUCGAUGUCGGCUCAUCACAUCCUGGGGCUGAAGUAGGUCCCAAGGGUAUGGCUGUUCGCCAUUUAAAGUGGUACGCGAGCUGGGUUUAGAACGUCGUGAGACAGUUCGGUCCCUAUCUGCCGUGGGCGCUGGAGAACUGAGGGGGGCUGCUCCUAGUACGAGAGGACCGGAGUGGACGCAUCACUGGUGUUCGGGUUGUCAUGCCAAUGGCACUGCCCGGUAGCUAAAUGCGGAAGAGAUAAGUGCUGAAAGCAUCUAAGCACGAAACUUGCCCCGAG
This 2181-nucleotide ribosomal RNA is filed under the name Salmonella enterica subsp. enterica serovar Enteritidis. RNAcentral's name for it is "partial 23S ribosomal RNA". It matches the Rfam family "Bacterial large subunit ribosomal RNA", at positions 639 to 2803 of the family's 2925-position model. Lineage: Bacteria; Pseudomonadati; Pseudomonadota; Gammaproteobacteria; Enterobacterales; Enterobacteriaceae. The record is from RNAcentral.